This 790-nucleotide ribosomal RNA is filed under the name uncultured Chlamydiae bacterium. Its description in RNAcentral is "bacterial SSU rRNA". It matches the Rfam family "Bacterial small subunit ribosomal RNA", at positions 557 to 1348 of the family's 1533-position model. The record is from RNAcentral. Lineage: Bacteria; Pseudomonadati; Chlamydiota; Chlamydiia.
GGCGUAAAGGGCGCGUAGGCGGAGGCGUAAGUCAGAUGUGAAAUCCCGGGGCUCAACCUCGGAACAGCAUUUGAAACUGCGCCCCUUGAGGGUAGGCGGAGAAAACGGAAUUCCACAAGUAGCGGUGAAAUGCGUAGAUAUGUGGAAGAACACCGGUGGCGAAAGCGGUUUUCUAGCUUAUUCCUGACGCUGAGGCGCGAAAGCAAGGGGAUCAAACAGGAUUAGAUACCCUGGUAGUCCUUGCUGUAAACGAUGUAUACUUGGUGUAACUGGAAUCAACCCUAGUUGUGCCGGAGCUAACGCGUUAAGUAUACCGCCUGGGGAGUACAGUCGCGAGGCUGAAACUCAAAAGAAUUGACGGGGACCCGCACAAGCAGUGGAGCAUGUGGUUUAAUUCGAUGCUACGCGAAAAACCUUACCCAGGCUUGACAUGCAGUAGACCGGUCCAGAAAUGGGCCUUUCCUUCGGGACUGCUGCACAGGUGCUGCAUGGCUGUCGUCAGCUCGUGCCGUGAGGUGUUGGGUUAAGUCCCGCAACGAGCGCAACCCUUAUCGUUAGUUGCCAACAUUUUAGGUGGGAACUCUAACGAGACUGCCCGGGUUAACCGGGAGGAAGGUGAGGAUGACGUCAAGUCCGCAUGGCCCUUAUGUCUGGGGCUACACACGUGCUACAAUGGUCGGUACAAAAGGCAGCGAAACCGCAAGGUGAAGCAAAUCCCGAAAACCGGCCUCAGUUCAGAUUGUAGUCUGCAACUCGACUACAUGAAGAUGGAAUUGCUAGUAAUGGCGAG